RNAcentral lists this ribosomal RNA (429 nucleotides) under Chloroflexota bacterium. RNAcentral's name for it is "Chloroflexi bacterium partial 16S ribosomal RNA". It matches the Rfam family "Bacterial small subunit ribosomal RNA", at positions 355 to 776 of the family's 1533-position model. Lineage: Bacteria; Bacillati; Chloroflexota. The record is from RNAcentral.
UGGGGAAUAUUGCACAAUGGGCGCAAGCCUGAUGCAGCCAUGCCGCGUGUAUGAAGAAGGCCUUCGGGUUGUAAAGUACUUUCAGUCGGGAGGAAGGUGUCAAGGUUAAUAACCUUGGCAAUUGACGUUACCGACAGAAGAAGCACCGGCUAACUCCGGGCCAGCAGCCGCGGUAAUACGGAGGGUGCAAGCGUUAAUCGGAAUUACUGGGCGUAAAGCGCACGCAGGCGGUUGAUUGAGUCAGAUGUGAAAUCCCCGGGCUUAACCCGGGAAUUGCAUCUGAUACUGGUCAGCUAGAGUCUUGUAGAGGGGGGUAGAAUUCCAUGUGUAGCGGUGAAAUGCGUAGAGAUGUGGAGGAAUACCGGUGGCGAAGGCGGCCCCCUGGACAAAGACUGACGCUCAGGUGCGAAAGCGUGGGGAGCAAACAGG